AUAUACAACUCCAAGAGAUUGGUAAGCCAACAACAAGGUCUGCAUGGGUGGAUAUUCCUGAGAAAAAUACUCAAAAUCUCAAUAUCCUAUGAAGUGACUUAGAAGUUUCAAGGCAGUAACAAAAAAAAGUGUGAAGUUAUCAGAUUUUAUCGAAACUGGUAGUAGCACUAGCACACAUCGAGGGUAAAAUGAGAACAGGUUGCUUGUGAUGAUUUCAUCAUGUCCUAUGUCAACCUCCAGAUGCACCGGUCUGCAGGAACCAUGAUGACUUAAGGUGUUCAAAAGGAAGAGGUAGUUAUAACUUAAUCACAUGAAGGAAGUUAUCCCGAAAGACCUACACUCUCUUGAAAUCUAUGCAAACCUAGCAAAAGAUCGGGCACAAUGAAAGAAAAGGAUCUAUGUGGAUGAUACCAGUUAGUUGGUUUAAGCUUUAAUUAUGCUAAUAUGUUUACUUUCGAUCCCAAUGUUUGUUGGGAGUUUUUAGGUCUUGUUUGAGAUUUCAUGCGUGGGAAAUGCAGACAGCUUCUAGUGCUACAAAAACUAAUUCUUUAUUAUAUUUGAACUUAGACAAAGCUUAAUUGAGUGACAUGGACAAUGAGAAUUCAUAUAGCCGAGGAUUCACAUAGACGGUCUUAAAUAGAGGGACAGUGGAUAUUUCUUGGAAUAUUGAAGAUGAGAAAAAGUAAAGCUUACCUUAGCUUUGGUUAAGGGAGACUGGUAUGUCUGCAUAACUGUCAUGUAUGUUUCCAUAGCAGGUACUGGUUCUGGAACAACUCUCCUGCUGUUGUUACAAAGGUCAAUACGGUUACUAUCUUCAAGAUUGCUUCUACUUUCAAUAUCAUAGUUCUUUAUGCUGGAAUUGUUGCUUUUAACAUCUUCCAUGUUUUAAAUGCAGGACACUUCCAAUAUUCUAGUUAAGAAGUUGCCGUACAUUGUGUCAUGCUUAUAUAGCUUCAAAAAAGCCUCAAGGACUAUCGAUUUGCAAACAGGGAUAUCGAUUUGGUUGAUCCUAAGAAUAAAACAAAAGAUAUAAGUUAGUGCUGCAAAUUCUAAAAGCCACAAGUUGCUGGAGAGGGAGCAGGUAAAGGAACACAUCAUCAUAUAUAUAUUUUAGCAGUAAUUCCACCAAUUUGCAUACAAAUUUAUUUCAUCAUCCUGUUGGAGCACUUAUCGAUUCGCAAACAGGGAUAUGAAGAUAAAUUAUUGGUACAUUUUCUUGUUGACAUAUUAUAUUUUAUACCAAGGAGUGACUACACACUCUCACAAGUGACAUAUAACCAGAAAUUUUUAAAAAUCUGCCACUGUUGCUUUGUUGGAUGAACCUUAUCUAGUCUAGUCUAGUCUAGUUAAAUAAAUCAAGCUUAAAUUUUUGCAGUAAGUUGAUGACAAGUGAAAACUAGUAAAUCCUCUGAUUAAAAAGGUAAGCUUGAUUAAUGAACAAAAGCUCAUAUGCAAUUUUGCUGGCUUAUGAUUCUUUUGAUUAUGAAUUUUUUGUUUUAUUAUAGGUAUAUAUAUCAGUGUUGACACAUCUUGACCUAAGCUGGUCCAAUGUAAUGGUUAAGGUGUUGCACAACUUUCUUAAACUCGUGUGUUCAGUCCUAGCUAGCGACAUCAUUAUAUUUGCCUUUUUUUUACAUCUUUAAUAAAAAUCUUAACUCCGCCGCUAUCCGUCCACAUAUGUACAUGGAGGACGUAGGUAUUGCCGAAAGUGUUAAGUGAGAAGGAUGUAAGUUGUUCUAAAAGGGCUAACUGACAUACAAAUAUGUUAACUACUUUGGAAUCACACUUCUUAUUAAAUUUAGUCAAAGACGUAGACCUAUCUGUCCAAAAUACUCUUAUGAGGUAUUUAACUUUAAAUUUUAUUGGCUUUACAUGUGAGUAAAUCAAUUUGAUUGCGAUUUGGUCACUAUUAUAUUGUUCUUAUCUUUUCUCUAUCGUAUAUUCUAUUCAUAUUUACCUCUAAAUGAUUAAACGUGCAUUGGUGGAUCAAACUGUCAAAUAAUAAUAACACACCAAGUAUAAUUUUAGAAAGUGAGGUAGGGAGAGGAUAAGUGUAUGUGAAUCUUACUUCUACUUCAGGGUGGAGAGAUUCUUUCUAAUAGAUUCUCGACUCAAGAAAAAAAAUAAUUCAAAGCAAUCUAGAAAGGAAGUAACAAAAGUACAAGAAAUAUCAUAUAGUAACAAAAACAACAAAUAGUUAUAACAACUCUUUUUGAGGGUUUUUCAAUUGAAGUGAUGAUACUGAGAAGAUAUUAUUUUUACUUAUUUAGAGUUGUCACUUGGAAUUGAGUUAUGAUGUUCCAAGUCACUUUUUUGGAUCUCUAAUCAAAAGAAAAUACUCUUUUAUUUUUUGUUUAGCGAAAAGAAAAGACUAGAUAAGAAAUUUUAUUGACCGAGGGGAAGGUAUGAGG
RNAcentral lists this long non-coding RNA (2411 nucleotides) under Solanum tuberosum (potato). RNAcentral describes it as "long non-coding RNA (STUB_LNC006528)". The record is from RNAcentral. Lineage: Eukaryota; Viridiplantae; Streptophyta; Magnoliopsida; Solanales; Solanaceae.